GAUGAACGCUGGCGGCAUGCUUUACACAUGCAAGUCGGACGGGUAGUGGUGUUUCCAGUGGCGGACGGGGGAGUAACGCGUAAGAACCUGCUCUUGGUAGGGGAACAACAGCUGGAAACGGCUGCUAAUACUCCGUAGUCUGAGGAGCGAAAGGAGGAAUCCGCCCAAGGAGGGGCGCGCGUCUGCGUAGCUAGUUGGUGAGGUAAUAGCUUACCAAGGCCGUGAUCAGUAGCUGGUCCGAGAGGAUGAUCAGCCACACUGGGACUGAGACAAGGCCCAGACUCCUCCGGGAGGCAGCAGUGGGGAAUUUUCCGCAAUGGGCGACAGCCUGACGGAGCAAUGCCGCGUGGAGGUAAAAGGCCUACGGCUCAUGAACUUCUUUUCCUGGAGAAGAAACAACGGCGGUAUCUGGGGAAUACGCAUCGGCUAACUCUGUG
This 437-nucleotide ribosomal RNA is filed under the name uncultured bacterium. Its description in RNAcentral is "partial 16S ribosomal RNA". It matches the Rfam family "Bacterial small subunit ribosomal RNA", at positions 28 to 507 of the family's 1533-position model. The record is from RNAcentral.